Jatropha curcas is the source of this 92-nucleotide non-coding RNA. Lineage: Eukaryota; Viridiplantae; Streptophyta; Magnoliopsida; Malpighiales; Euphorbiaceae. The record is from Rfam.
CUUCUGCUGUGAUGAAUUUAUGAAAUGAUUCACAUGUCAGACUUCAGAGAUUUUCAAUCAAUGAGAAGAAAUUUCAUCUCUCUGAGCAGAAG